AUGGGGGCACCGGGGCGCGCAGGCGGCCGGGGAAGGGCCGGGGGACGCAGGGGGCGCUCGGGGCGAGACCCGGGCGCGGGGGCGCACAGGCGACGGGGAGGGGUCGGGGAAGGGUCGGGGAGCGCGGGGUCGGUCGGGGCGGACUCUCGGGGCGGGCCCCGGGCGCGAAGGCACUGGGCGCACGGGCUGCUGGGCGGGCCCGGGGCGCUGGGGCGCGGCGGCCGGGAGGAAGUGCGGGGCCUGCCCGGGCGCGUUAAGGAAGUUGCCGAAAAUGAGGAAGCGCCUCGCGCUGGGCGGCUGAGGCGACUCCAGCGGCCGGAGGAGCGAGGAGGAGCGGGCGGCCCCGCGCUGCGCCCCGAGCCGCCCCGGCCCCGCGCCCCGCGCCCCGCCCUCGGCUCACCUGGCACAGAACCAUCAAGUGGCUCAAGAAAGAUCUUCGCCCUGUCCAUCCAGUUAUCAAAUCCAUCUAUCGAAGCUGUUAUAUUGCAGCAAGCCGGUGCUGCUGCGUACGUUCAAAGAGGAACUCACCACUUCCUUUUUUCGUUGUUAGCCACCCCAAUCAGCUGA
RNAcentral lists this long non-coding RNA (567 nucleotides) under Felis catus (domestic cat). Its description in RNAcentral is "lncRNA (ENSFCAG00000053174.1)". The record is from RNAcentral. Lineage: Eukaryota; Metazoa; Chordata; Mammalia; Carnivora; Felidae.